This 253-nucleotide ribosomal RNA is filed under the name uncultured prokaryote. RNAcentral describes it as "partial 16S ribosomal RNA". It matches the Rfam family "Bacterial small subunit ribosomal RNA", at positions 524 to 776 of the family's 1533-position model. The record is from RNAcentral.
UACGAAGGGGGCUAGCGUUGUUCGGAAUCACUGGGCGUAAAGCGCACGUAGGCGGCUCUUUAAGUCAGGGGUGAAAUCCUGGAGCUCAACUCCAGAACUGCCCUUGAUACUGAGGAGCUUGAGUCCGGGAGAGGUGGGUGGAACUGCGAGUGUAGAGGUGAAAUUCGUAGAUAUUCGGAAGAACACCAGUGGCGAAGGCGAUCACCUGGGGUUGUUCUGACGCUGAGGAGCGAAAGCUAGGGGAGCAAACGGG